GCUUUGUCAGCUUCAGCAGAAGUAUUACUGUUCCUAGAACAACCUCCUGUACAUAGACAAAACUGGAUUUUCCUCAGUGUUCUGUAUCUGAAGAGUAAGAAGGUCUCUGACAUUCAGUAGGAUGAGAAUCUCUGAACAGGCUGACUACUGGGGACUCAGAAGCUGCAGUUCAGGUGAGUAACUUCUUUGGAGGAGGAACUUAAAGGUUUCUUCUUUAAAAAUUAUGAUAAUUAAGUAGCAAAGGGUGCAACUUAAACUAUAAAUAUUUUCCACUUAACAUUUACAUUUAAAAUAGAUUUGUGAGAGGAUUUGUUAGUUACUAUUUG
RNAcentral lists this long non-coding RNA (326 nucleotides) under Falco tinnunculus (common kestrel). RNAcentral's name for it is "lncRNA (ENSFTIG00000014904.1)". The record is from RNAcentral. Lineage: Eukaryota; Metazoa; Chordata; Aves; Falconiformes; Falconidae.